CCUACGGGUGGCAGCAGUGGGGAAUAUUGCACAAUGGGCGCAAGCCUGAUGCAGCCAUGCCGCGUGUGUGAAGAAGGCCUUCGGGUUGUAAAGCACUUUCAGCGGGGCGGAAGGCGUUAAGGUUAAUAACCUUGGCGAUUGACGUUACCCGCAGAAGAAGCACCGGCUAACUCCGUGCCAGCAGCCGCGGUAAUACGGGGGGUGCAAGCGUUAAUCGGAAUUACUGGGCGUAAAGCGCACGCAGGCGGUCUGUCAAGUCGGAUGUGAAAUCCCCGGGCUCAACCUGGGAACUGCAUUCGAAACUGGCAGGCUAGAGUCUUGUAGAGGGGGGUAGAAUUCCAGGUGUAGCGGUGAAAUGCGUAGAGAUCUGGAGGAAUACCGGUGGCGAAGGCGGCCCCCUGGACAAAGACUGACGCUCAGGUGCGAAAGCGUGGGGAGCAAACAGGAUUAGAUACCCCAGUAGUC
RNAcentral lists this ribosomal RNA (465 nucleotides) under uncultured Klebsiella sp. RNAcentral's name for it is "bacterial SSU rRNA". It matches the Rfam family "Bacterial small subunit ribosomal RNA", at positions 338 to 795 of the family's 1533-position model. Lineage: Bacteria; Pseudomonadati; Pseudomonadota; Gammaproteobacteria; Enterobacterales; Enterobacteriaceae. The record is from RNAcentral.